GUUUCCAUAGUGUAGUGGUUAUCACGUUCGCCUCACACGCAAAAGGUCCCCAGUUCGAAACUGGGUGGAAACA
This 73-nucleotide transfer RNA is filed under the name Clupea harengus (Atlantic herring). It matches the Rfam family "tRNA". From Rfam's summary of the family: Transfer RNA (tRNA) molecules are approximately 80 nucleotides in length. Their secondary structure includes four short double-helical elements and three loops (D, anti-codon, and T loops). Lineage: Eukaryota; Metazoa; Chordata; Actinopteri; Clupeiformes; Clupeidae. RNAcentral also lists the same sequence under 1 other name. The record is from Rfam by way of RNAcentral.